Molecule: transfer-messenger RNA, 353 nt
Filed under: Bryobacteraceae
Lineage: Bacteria; Pseudomonadati; Acidobacteriota; Terriglobia; Bryobacterales
Also listed under: 1 other name
Description: Palsa-89 sp020073265 Standard tmRNA
Rfam family: transfer-messenger RNA
About the family: Bacterial tmRNA, also known as 10Sa RNA or SsrA, is named for its dual tRNA and mRNA-like properties. Its role is to liberate the mRNA from a stalled ribosome.
Source: RNAcentral
GGGGGCGCAACGGAUUCGACGGGAUCGAAUCGUGGUGGAAAGGCGUGCCGGGUUCCGAGCUCCCGUAAAACGAUCGGAAAACCAUAACUGCCAAUCAGCAGUUUGCAUACGCUGCCUAAUUAAUUAGGUAGCCGCUCCGGGUGCCGGGCCUCGACGGCAUUCAAGGAGCGUCAUUUUCGAGGAUUGGGCCGCAGGCUUCUGCUCGGAGCCGAGGGCUGACGACAAUCGGGCUAAGCCGCCGUUUUCUUGCCGGCUCUAAUGCGGCGGCCGACAACUACCGAACCGGAAACGCACGUAGUUCUUUUCAUUGCGGGCUUUCUCGGACGCGGGUUCAACUCCCGCCGCCUCCACCA